UAAUACGUAGGGGACGAGCGUUGUCCGGAAUUAUUGGGCGUAAAGAGCGUGUAGGCGGCUCUGCAAGUCCUGCGUGAAAUCUCGAGGCUCAACCUCGAGCGGUCGUGGGAAACUGGAGGGCUAGAGUGCGGGAGAGGGAAGUGGAAUUCCAGGUGUAGCGGUGAAAUGCGCAGAUAUCUGGAAGAACACCCGUGGCGAAGGCGGCUUCCUGGAACGACACUGACGCUGAGACGCGAAAGCGUGGGGAGCAAACAGGAUUAGAUACCCUGGUAGUCCACGCCGUAAACGAUGGACGCUAGGUGUGGGCGGUGUCGACUCCGUCCGUGCCGAAGCUAACGCAUUAAGCGUCCCGCCUGGGGAGUACGGCCGCAAGGCUA
RNAcentral lists this ribosomal RNA (377 nucleotides) under uncultured bacterium. RNAcentral's name for it is "bacterial SSU rRNA". It matches the Rfam family "Bacterial small subunit ribosomal RNA", at positions 521 to 896 of the family's 1533-position model. The record is from RNAcentral.